Molecule: ribosomal RNA, 387 nt
Filed under: uncultured bacterium
Lineage: Bacteria
Description: bacterial SSU rRNA
Rfam family: Bacterial small subunit ribosomal RNA
Source: RNAcentral
AUUGAACGCUGGCGGCAUGCUUUACACAUGCAAGUCGAACGGCAGCGGGGGCUUCGGCCUGCCGGCGAGUGGCGAACGGGUGAGUAAUGCAUCGGAACGUGCCCAGUCAUGGGGGAUAACUACGCGAAAGCGUAGCUAAUACCGCAUACGCCCUGAGGGGGAAAGCGGGGGAUCGCAAGACCUCGCGUGAUUGGAGCGGCCGAUGUCGGAUUAGCUAGUUGGUGGGGUAAAGGCCUACCAAGGCGACGAUCCGUAGCGGGUCUGAGAGGAUGAUCCGCCACACUGGGACUGAGACACGGCCCAGACUCCUACGGGAGGCAGCAGUGGGGAAUUUUGGACAAUGGGGGGCAACCCUGAUCCAGCCAUGCCGCGUGAGUGAAGAAGGCC